UACGUAGGGUGCGAGCGUUGUCCGGAAUUAUUGGGCGUAAAGAGCUUGUAGGUGGUUUGUCGCGUCUGCUGUGAAAAUCCGGGGCUCAACCCCGGACUUGCAGUGGGUACGGGCAGACUAGAGUGUGGUAGGGGAGACUGGAAUUCCUGGUGUAGCGGUGGAAUGCGCAGAUAUCAGGAGGAACACCGAUGGCGAAGGCAGGUCUCUGGGCCACUACUGACGCUGAGAAGCGAAAGCAUGGGGAGCGAACAGG
This 253-nucleotide ribosomal RNA is filed under the name uncultured bacterium. Its description in RNAcentral is "partial 16S ribosomal RNA". It matches the Rfam family "Bacterial small subunit ribosomal RNA", at positions 524 to 776 of the family's 1533-position model. The record is from RNAcentral.